UGCUUGGAUGUCAGCUGGCAGAGUGGUGAAGACGGCCAUCGUGAGAGUCCUUUCUUCAGGUGUGACGUCCACAACCUCCAAGAGGGAAGAGAUGGGCUCUGCCUCUGUAUUAGGGGUGAUGUCCACAAUAUUUAGGUGGAAAGAAGCCGGCUCUGCCUCUGUGUUAGGGGUUAUGUCCACAUUAUUCAGGUGGAAAGAAGCCGGCUCUGCCUCUGUGUUAGGGGUUAUGUCCACAACAUUCAGGUGGGAAGAAGCCGGAUCUGCCUCUGUAUUAAGGGUUAUGUCCACAACAUUCAGGUGGAGAGAAGCCGGGUCUUCCUCUGUGUUAGGGGUGAUGUUCACAACCUCCAGGUGGGAAGAUGCCGGGUCUGCCUCUGUUUUUGGGGUGAUGUCUUGAACUUCCAGGUGGGAACAAGCCGGGUCUGCGUCUGUUUUUGGGGUGAUGUCCACAACCUCCAGGUGGGAACAAGCCGGGUCUGCCUCUGUGUUAGGGGUGACUUUCACAAUCUCCAGGUGGAAAGAAGCCGGAUCUGCCUCUGUGUUAGUGGUGAUGUCCACAACAUUCAGGUGGGAAGACGCUGGGUCUGUGUCAUGGGUGACAACAACAAUCCUGAUGAGCUCUACUACUACUACACCAAGAUGUCAUCAGAACAGGCAUCUGUCAGAGUGCUCGCUAU
Molecule: long non-coding RNA, 677 nt
Filed under: Salmo salar (Atlantic salmon)
Lineage: Eukaryota; Metazoa; Chordata; Actinopteri; Salmoniformes; Salmonidae
Description: lncRNA (ENSSSAG00000120958.1)
Source: RNAcentral